CCCUCACGCCUGUUCUCUCUCUCUCUCUCUCUCCCUCAAGCCUUUUCAUCUUCGUCAAGCCACACUGCCACCGCCGUACGACAACUCCCUCACAUAAUCAGCCCAAAAGCUCCACUCCAGUACAUUCAACAAUUUGGGUUGUGGGUUUUACUUAGGGUUUUAUUGGGCUACUGGGUAUAAUGCUGAAAGGGGAAAGAAUGGCGAAGAGGUCUUCUUUUGGGAUUGGGAGUGUAGUAAGGAAUAGGCUAUCAGAUAUAACCAACUUAAUUCCACAACCCAAGUCCCCUUUCCCCGAUAAAAAGCUCUCACAGACCGAUUCCUCGGCGAAGGAACACAUUGAUCAUCUUGUCAAGGAAAAUAUUGCAUUGGCCAAACUUAUUGCAUACAAGAAGUAUGCUUUUGUGGUUUUGGCCUUUUGUGUUUGAGUACUUACGCUUUUUUCUAUCAUUUUGCUCUUGACAUUGUAAGUGUUAAGGUCUCCUUAUUUUGGUUCAACAGUAAAAUUAGUCUUCAGAAAAUGCAGAUGCAAAAUUGGAACCAUUGCUUAAUUUUUUUCUUUUGAAACUGAAUGUGUUCCAUCUAUCUUUCUGGAGUUUAAUUUAGGUAAACAUAAGUUUGAUGGAUUCCGACUGGGAAUUCACGUCUGUUUGUAUAUCCACUAUCGUCAGCUCUCCUAUGUUGUGCA
Long non-coding RNA from Rhododendron vialii, 685 nucleotides. RefSeq lists it as uncharacterized. Lineage: Eukaryota; Viridiplantae; Streptophyta; Magnoliopsida; Ericales; Ericaceae. The record is from RefSeq and is a predicted model, not a curated record. The transcript is spliced from 3 exons.